This 85-nucleotide transfer RNA is filed under the name Felis catus (domestic cat). It matches the Rfam family "tRNA". From Rfam's summary of the family: Transfer RNA (tRNA) molecules are approximately 80 nucleotides in length. RNAcentral also lists the same sequence under 1 other name. The record is from Rfam by way of RNAcentral. Lineage: Eukaryota; Metazoa; Chordata; Mammalia; Carnivora; Felidae.
GCCUGGGUGGCUCAGUCGGUUAAGUGUCUGACUUCAGCUCAGGACAUGAUCUCACGGCUUGUGAGUUCAAGCCCCAUGUCAGGCU